GAUGAACGCUGGCGACGUGCCUAAUACAUGCAAGUCGAGCGAACAGACGAGGAGCUUGCUCCUUUGACGUUAGCGGCGGACGGGUGAGUAACACGUGGGUAACCUACCUAUAAGACUGGGAUAACUUCGGGAAACCGGAGCUAAUACCGGAUAAUAUUUCGAACCGCAUGGUUCGAUAGUGAAAGAUGGCUUUGCUAUCACUUAUAGAUGGACCUGCGCCGUAUUAGCUAGUUGGUAAGGUAACGGCUUACCAAGGCAACGAUACGUAGCCGACCUGAGAGGGUGAUCGGCCACACUGGAACUGAGACACGGUCCAGACUCCUACGGGAGGCAGCAGUAGGGAAUCUUCCGCAAUGGGCGAAAGCCUGACGGAGCAACGCCGCGUGAGUGAUGAAGGUCUUCGGAUCGUAAAACUCUGUUAUUAGGGAAGAACAAACGUGUAAGUAACUGUGCACGUCUUGACGGUACCUAAUCAGAAAGCCACGGCUAACUACGUG
This 497-nucleotide ribosomal RNA is filed under the name uncultured bacterium. RNAcentral's name for it is "partial 16S ribosomal RNA". It matches the Rfam family "Bacterial small subunit ribosomal RNA", at positions 28 to 507 of the family's 1533-position model. The record is from RNAcentral.